RNAcentral lists this ribosomal RNA (491 nucleotides) under uncultured bacterium. Its description in RNAcentral is "partial 16S ribosomal RNA". It matches the Rfam family "Bacterial small subunit ribosomal RNA", at positions 28 to 507 of the family's 1533-position model. The record is from RNAcentral.
GAUGAACGCUGGCUACAGGCUUAACACAUGCAAGUCGAGGGGAAACGACGGGGAAGCUUGCUUCCCCGGGCGUCGACCGGCGCACGGGUGAGUAACGCGUAUCCAACCUGCCUCUGACUGAGGGAUAACCCGUCGAAAGUCGGCCUAAUACCUCAUGGUAUCGUCUGCGGGCAUCCAACGACGAUUAAAGAUUUCAUCGGUCAGGGAUGGGGAUGCGUCUGAUUAGCUUGUUGGCGGGGUAACGGCCCACCAAGGCUACGAUCAGUAGGGGUUCUGAGAGGAAGGUCCCCCACAUUGGAACUGAGACACGGUCCAAACUCCUACGAGAGGCAGCAGUGAGGAAUAUUGGUCAAUGGGCGAGAGCCUGAACCAGCCAAGUAGCGUGCAGGAAGACGGCCCUAUGGGUUGUAAACUGCUUUUAUGCGGGGAUAAAGUGAGGGACGUGUCCCUCAUUGCAGGUACCGCAUGAAUAAGGACCGGCUAAUUCCGUG